This 535-nucleotide ribosomal RNA is filed under the name Pseudaulacaspis momi. RNAcentral describes it as "eukaryotic LSU rRNA". The record is from RNAcentral. Lineage: Eukaryota; Metazoa; Arthropoda; Insecta; Hemiptera; Diaspididae.
AUCUGGGCGGCGGAAUUCAGGAUGGCUGCGGGCGCUCGUUCGUGCGCGGCCGUUUGAUAUUUCCGUCGCCGUGUCGGACGUCGCGACCUGUUCGCCUGUCGGUCCCUGCUCGGAGGAAUCGCGAUCGAGCUCGUUGCGCGGCACGUUUCGGCGUGUCGCGCGGCGAAGACGCGACUCUCUGGCUGACGGCGGACAGUAAGCAACGGUGUCCGGCGUCGUGUCUCGCACUCGACGUCGGUGCCGGUCUGCGACGAUUUCUUCGGGCCUCUUUCCGACCCGUCUUGAAACACGGACCAAGGAGUCUAACAUGCGCGCGAGUCGCGGGGCAUCGAGCGUUACCACGGUGCGCUCGUCAUGUGCGAAACCCGUCUCUGAAAGGCGUAAUGAAAGUGAACAGGGAAGAUGGCGUUCCGAGACCACGUACCGUGAUCGAGUGUCGCGGCCGGACGUCCGCACUCCCGGGGCGUCUCAAUGGCUCGUCGCGGACGCGGACGAUCGUCUCUCCGGGGGCGGUCGUCGGUCUGCGUCGGACCGA